GUGUCAGCAGCCGCGGUAAUACGGAGGGUGCGAGCGUUAAUCGGAAUUACUGGGCGUAAAGCGUACGCAGGCGGUUUGAUAAGCGAGAUGUGAAAGCCCCGGGCUCAACCUGGGAACUGCAUUUCGAACUGGCAAACUAGAGUGUGAUAGAGGGUGGUAGAAUUUCAGGUGUAGCGGUGAAAUGCGUAGAGAUCUGAAGGAAUACCGAUGGCGAAGGCAGCCACCUGGGUCAACACUGACGCUCAUGUACGAAAGCGUGGGGAGCAAACAGGAUUAGAUACCCGUGUAGUCC
This 292-nucleotide ribosomal RNA is filed under the name uncultured prokaryote. RNAcentral's name for it is "partial 16S ribosomal RNA". It matches the Rfam family "Bacterial small subunit ribosomal RNA", at positions 505 to 796 of the family's 1533-position model. The record is from RNAcentral.